AUUGAACGCUGGCGGCAGGCUUAACACAUGCAAGUCGAGCGGGGUGAUGGUGCUUGCACUAUCACUUAGCGGCGGACGGGUGAGUAAUGCUUAGGAAUCUGCCUAUUAGUGGGGGACAACAUCUCGAAAGGGAUGCUAAUACCGCAUACGUCCUACGGGAGAAAGCAGGGGAUCACUUGUGACCUUGCGCUAAUAGAUGAGCCUAAGUCGGAUUAGCUAGUUGGUGGGGUAAAGGCCUACCAAGGCGACGAUCUGUAGCGGGUCUGAGAGGAGGGUCCGCCACGCUGGGACUGAGACACGGCCCAGACUCCUACGGGAGGCAGCAGUGGGGAAUAUUGGACAAUGGGGGGAACCCUGAUCCAGCCAUGCCGCGUGUGUGAAGAAGGCCUUAUGGUUGUAAAGCACUUUAAGCGAGGAGGAGGCUCUUUUGGUUAAUACCCAAGAUGAGUGGACGUUACUCGCAGAAUAAGCACCGGCUAACUCUGUGCCAGCCGCCGCAGUAA
This 503-nucleotide ribosomal RNA is filed under the name uncultured bacterium. Its description in RNAcentral is "partial 16S ribosomal RNA". It matches the Rfam family "Bacterial small subunit ribosomal RNA", at positions 30 to 523 of the family's 1533-position model. The record is from RNAcentral.